AUUGAACGCUGGCGGCAUGCUUUACACAUGCAAGUCGAACGGCAGCGCGGGCUUCGGCCUGGCGGCGAGUGGCGAACGGGUGAGUGAUACAUCGGAACGUGCCCAGUAGUGGGGGAUAGCUCGGCGAAAGCCGGAUUAAUACCGCAUACGACCUGAGGGUGAAAGCGGGGGAUCUUCGGACCUCGCGCUAUUGGAGCGGCCGAUGGCAGAUUAGCUAGUUGGUGGGGUAAAGGCCUACCAAGGCGACGAUCUGUAGCUGGUCUGAGAGGACGACCAGCCACACUGGGACUGAGACACGGCCCAGACUCCUACGGGAGGCAGCAGUGGGGAAUUUUGGACAAUGGGCGAAAGCCUGAUCCAGCAAUGCCGCGUGUGUGAUGAAGGCCUUCGGGUUGUAAAGCACUUUUGGCGGGAACGAAAAGGACUGUGCCAAUACCACGGUUCGAUGACGGUACCCGCAGAAUAAGCACCGGCUAACUACGU
RNAcentral lists this ribosomal RNA (483 nucleotides) under uncultured bacterium. RNAcentral's name for it is "partial 16S ribosomal RNA". It matches the Rfam family "Bacterial small subunit ribosomal RNA", at positions 29 to 506 of the family's 1533-position model. The record is from RNAcentral.